Molecule: long non-coding RNA, 496 nt
Organism: Passer montanus (Eurasian tree sparrow)
Lineage: Eukaryota; Metazoa; Chordata; Aves; Passeriformes; Passeridae
Exons: 3
Source: RefSeq, a predicted model, not a curated record
UGGGCUGAUUGCCUUGCUUGUAAACCUGGCAGAAAUUCACUUCAGCUCAAAUUUCUGAUCUGCCAGUUCAAGAGAAGGGGACCUUUGCACUCUGCUAUUUAUUGCCUCCUGCUCCUCAGACAUUCUCAGUGCUGGAAAUGGUAACAUCUUUUAUGGUAGAAGGAAAACCAUAUGUAAUUGCAUGAGAACACCAAAUUGUAAGAAGGAAAGCAAACAACAGCCGAGAUCCUGGAGAAGCAGCAGUGGCAAGGAAGGAGUGGGGAAGUGGUCUUGAAAAUACAGGUGAAGAAAAAGAGACAAAGUGAACCAAGAUACCUGAGGCCAGUGAGCAGUUUAGUAACCACAUCUGAAUCAGACAUUGGGCUGUCUAGUGGGUCAGCAUCAAGUUAAUCAGAUCAGAUGCAGAGACUUUUCAAAGCGAUGAAUAGAGAGACUUCAGCUCCAGAAGAAAGAGGACAAGCAUACAGCUGUUUAAGCCUGGCACAAGGAAGCUGCA